RNAcentral lists this long non-coding RNA (231 nucleotides) under Mustela putorius furo (domestic ferret). Its description in RNAcentral is "lncRNA (ENSMPUG00000027750.1)". Lineage: Eukaryota; Metazoa; Chordata; Mammalia; Carnivora; Mustelidae. The record is from RNAcentral.
GUUUCUUCCUCUUGGAAACACGGGGACACCCACGCGUGUCUCACUGGUCGCUGGGAGAGCAGACAGCUUUGCCCACACUCUUUCUCUUUGCUUCUCCUCCCGUACCCCCCGCGUGGACCGUCUUCUGAUGCACAGUGGAUUCUUUCCCUGGGAAACUCGCUGCAGAUCUCACUUGCCCAGAAAAAUACACCUGUGGAGUCCUUGCUCUCGUGAAGGGCCUGGGGGGGGCCA